This is a long non-coding RNA of Salvelinus namaycush (lake trout), 693 nucleotides long. RefSeq lists it as uncharacterized. The record is from RefSeq and is a predicted model, not a curated record. NCBI's taxonomy places the organism in Eukaryota, Metazoa, Chordata, Actinopteri, Salmoniformes, Salmonidae. The transcript is spliced from 4 exons.
CAGAUACACAGGUAUAAAAGAACCACAGACUAAACACAGAGUCUCAUACAGAGACCAAGACAUGAGGAAGCUGCUACUGCUGGCUUUGGCUUUGGGGUGUGCAGCGGCUGUUCCAGUGAAGCAGGAUGGAGCGUUGUUGCAUGAAGUUUUCCAACCCCACUCCAGACCCUGGCAGGUCUACACUAAGGGGGGCUGGUAUGGGGAGGGAAGGUGCAGUGGUGCCCUCAUCAAUGAGUGGUGGGUGCUUACCGCUUGGAACUUUGUCGAACCUGGCCACACUAUAGUUUCUCUGGGGGAGCAUGACCUGACAGUGGAGGAAGGGACAGAGCAACACAUCUGGGUGGCCAGAUAUGUGCAGCAUGGGCCAUAAGCACGAGGUCCCUCUCACAGCCUGGCAAUGGUGAAGCUGUCAGAGCCUGCCCGGUUCACUCAGCAUGUCAUGCCCGUAGCCAUACCCACACGCUGCACUCAGCUCCAUGAGAAGUGUUUGGUCAGCGGCUGGGGCUCCACCGUACCGGGACAGGACGAGCCCAAACUAAUCCUGAAGUGUGAAACACAGCGGGUCAUUGAUGACAAGAUGUGCCAGACAGCCUUUCCUCUUUAUUGGAUUGAACAUGCAUUCUGUGCUAAAACCAUCAUCUUAACCGACAACUGCCUGGUCAGUACAUCAACAGCACAGUGCUUUGCAAACAU